GAUCCUGGCUCAGGAUGAACGUUAGCUACAGGCUUAACACAUGCAAGUCGAGGGGCAGCAUUUCAGUUUGCUUGCAAACUGGAGAUGGCGACCGGCGCACGGGUGAGUAACACGUAUCCAACCUGCCGAUAACUCGGGGAUAGCCUUUCGAAAGAAAGAUUAAUACCCGAUAGUAUAAUUAGACCGCAUGGUCUUAUUAUUAAAGAAUUUCGGUUAUCGAUGGGGAUGCGUUCAAUUAGGCAGUUGGUG
Molecule: ribosomal RNA, 249 nt
Filed under: uncultured bacterium
Lineage: Bacteria
Description: partial 16S ribosomal RNA
Rfam family: Bacterial small subunit ribosomal RNA
Source: RNAcentral